RNAcentral lists this ribosomal RNA (450 nucleotides) under uncultured Glomeromycotina. RNAcentral's name for it is "SSU rRNA". It matches the Rfam family "Eukaryotic small subunit ribosomal RNA", at positions 569 to 1014 of the family's 1831-position model. Lineage: Eukaryota; Fungi; Glomeromycota. The record is from RNAcentral.
AGCAGCCGCGGUAAUUCCAGCUCCAAUAGCGUAUAUUAAAGUUGUUGCAGUUAAAAAGCUCGUAGUUGAAUUUCGGGAUUGACGUGAUGGUCGUGCCUUAAGGGGUAUGAACUGUCGCUGUUGAUUUCUCACCUUCUGGAGAAACUUGAUGUCCUUAAUUGGGUGUCUUGCGGAUCCAGGACCUUUAACCUUGAAAAAAUUAGAGUGUUUAAAGCAGGCAUUUUUGCUCGAAUACAUUAGCAUGGAAUGAUAGAAUAGGACGGCAUGGUUCUAUUUUGUUGGUUUCUAGGAUCACCGUAAUGAUUAAUAGGGAUAGUUGGGGGCAUUAGUAUUCAAUUGUCAGAGGUGAAAUUCUUGGAUUUAUUGAAGACUAAACUACUGCGAAAGCAUUUGCCAAGGAUGUUUUCAUUAAUCAAGAACGAAAGUUAGGGGAUCGAAGACGAUCAGAUA